This 279-nucleotide ribosomal RNA is filed under the name uncultured bacterium. RNAcentral's name for it is "partial 16S ribosomal RNA". It matches the Rfam family "Bacterial small subunit ribosomal RNA", at positions 506 to 784 of the family's 1533-position model. The record is from RNAcentral.
UGCCAGCAGCCGCGGUAACACGGGGGGCGCAAGCGUUAUUCGGAAUUAUUGGGCGUAAAGGGCGUGUAGGCGGUUUGUCUAGUCAGGCGUGAAAUCCCGGAGCUUAACUCCGGAACUGCCUUUAAAACUGGUAAGCUAGAGGAUAUGAGAGGUGAGUGGAAUUCCGAGUGUAGAGGUGAAAUUCGUAGAUAUUCGGAAGAACACCAGUGGCGAAGGCGACUCACUGGCACAUUUCUGACGCUGAGGCGCGAAAGCGUGGGGAGCAAACAGGAUUAGAUA